UUCGGAAUCACUGGGCGUAAAGGGCGCGUAGGCGGCUUUAUAAGUCGGGGGUGAAAGCCUGUGGCUCAACCACAGAAUUGCCUUCGAUACUGUAGAGCUUGAGACCGGAAGAGGUAAGUGGAACUGCGAGUGUAGAGGUGAAAUUCGUAGAUAUUCGCAAGAACACCAGUGGCGAAGGCGGCUUACUGGUCCGGUUCUGACGCUGAGGCGCGAAAGCGUGGGGAGCAAACAGG
RNAcentral lists this ribosomal RNA (233 nucleotides) under uncultured bacterium. RNAcentral describes it as "partial 16S ribosomal RNA". It matches the Rfam family "Bacterial small subunit ribosomal RNA", at positions 544 to 776 of the family's 1533-position model. The record is from RNAcentral.